GAUGAACGCUGGCGGCGUGCCUAAUACAUGCAAGUCGAGCGAACAGACGAGGAGCUUGCUCCUCUGACGUUAGCGGCGGACGGGUGAGUAACACGUGGAUAACCUACCUAUAAGACUGGGAUAACUUCGGGAAACCGGAGCUAAUACCGGAUAAUAUAUUGAACCGCAUGGUUCAAUAGUGAAAGACGGUUUUGCUGUCACUUAUAGAUGGAUCCGCGCCGCAUUAGCUAGUUGGUAAGGUAACGGCUUACCAAGGCGACGAUGCGUAGCCGACCUGAGAGGGUGAUCGGCCACACGGGAACUGAGACACGGUCCAGACUCCUACGGGAGGCAGCAGUAGGGAAUCUUCCGCAAUGGGCGAAAGCCUGACGGAGCAACGCCGCGUGAGUGAUGAAGGUCUUCGGAUCGUAAAACGCUGUUAUUAGGGAAGAACAAAUGUGUAAGUAACUAUGCACGUCUUGACGGUACCUAAUCAGAAAGCCACGGCUAACUACGUG
This 497-nucleotide ribosomal RNA is filed under the name uncultured bacterium. RNAcentral's name for it is "partial 16S ribosomal RNA". It matches the Rfam family "Bacterial small subunit ribosomal RNA", at positions 28 to 507 of the family's 1533-position model. The record is from RNAcentral.